This 1395-nucleotide long non-coding RNA is filed under the name Homo sapiens (human). RNAcentral describes it as "HSALNT0357196". The record is from RNAcentral. Lineage: Eukaryota; Metazoa; Chordata; Mammalia; Primates; Hominidae.
AACCUUGUUGCUAGGGACCGGGCGGUUUGCGGCAACCGUGGGCACUGCUGAAUUUGAAUUGAGGGGCGAGGGAAAAGUUUUCCUCAGGUGUGGUGGGGAGAGGGAGGCGGAUGCCGGGAAACCGUAGGGACGCGGUCAGAAAGGCGACGGGCUGUCGGAGUUGGAAAGGUAAAGUUGGAGGCUCGGCGGCGUCCUGCCUCCGCGCUGGCCACACCCGCCGCGGCUGCCCGGGGCAGGGAGGGAUCUGGCUGAUUCUCCCUGUACCCUGUGCCCUCGGAGCUGCCCCUCCGAGCGCCCAGAGGUCCCCGCCUGCCUGCUUCCUGGAGGCAGGGCUACCAUCAGUCCCACGCCUCGCGUGUCCGCCCCCCGCACCCCGGGGCCAAGGAAAGGGAUCGCGGUCUGGACUCCCCGGGGAGUUCCCUUGAUGAGGGGAAGGGCAGGUUUGGGGACGGCGAGGACACGCGGCGACCGGAGAGAGGCUACCUGACCCGCGCAGCCCGGACUCCCUUCCCUUCCCUUCCAGGGACGCCUGGUUUCCCCCCAAGCGAACCGGGAUGGGAAGUGACUUCAAUGAGAUUGAACUUCAGCUGGAUUGAAAGAGAGGCUAGAAGUUCCGCUUGCCAGCAGCCUCCUUAGUAGAGCGGAAUGAGUAAUACCCACACGGUGCUUGUCUCACUUCCCCAUCCGCACCCGGCCCUCACCUGCUGUCACCUCGGCCUCCCACACCCGGUCCGCGCUCCCCGCCCUCUUCCUCGCGUAGAACCGUGGGAUCCUAGGUGGCAGGACUCAGAGCUAAGGUAUCCACAGGCCAUGAAUUCCUUCCUAAAUGAGCGGUCAUCGCCGUGCAGGACCUUAAGGCAAGAAGCAUCGGCUGACAGAUGUGAUCUCUGAACCUGAUAGAUUGCUGAUUUUAUCUUAUUUUAUCCUUGACUUGGUACAAGUUUUGGGAUUUCUGAAAAGACCAUACAGAUAACCACAAAUAUCAAGAAAGUCGUCUUCAGUAUUAAGUAGAAUUUAGAUUUAGGUUUCCUUCCUGCUUCCCACCUCCUUCGAAUAAGGAAACGUCUUUGGGACCAACUUUAUGGAAUAAAUAAGCUGAGCUGUAUUUCAAGUAAUAUAGUUAUAAAUUAACAAUGUAGCAGUUAUUGAUAGAGAAAUUGAGAAAACUGAAACGUGACCGGAGUAUUGGAAAUAACGUAGUACAUCACCUAGCACAAUGACACAUAGUAGGUGCUCAAUAAAUUUAUGCUUAUAAUUUUUGUCACUUCUAUGGCAGGAUUUUUUUAUUAGGUUAAAAUUAUCUUUUAAACACCUUCCGGAAUUUUAGAAUAUUCAUUAAUAAUGUCUUCAAACCUUUCAACUGAAAUAAAUUUACAGCUGAAGUCUGAUGAUUUA